This 1301-nucleotide long non-coding RNA is filed under the name Oryctolagus cuniculus (rabbit). Its description in RNAcentral is "lncRNA (ENSOCUG00000032698.1)". The record is from RNAcentral. Lineage: Eukaryota; Metazoa; Chordata; Mammalia; Lagomorpha; Leporidae.
GUCCAGGGUAUACACAUUUAAAAGUUGUAUCAGCGCUGCCAGAUUUCCCUCUAAAAGAGCUGUGCCAAUUUGAAUGCACACCCAAAAUGUGUGAUGCUGCCUGGUGUACUCUGUCUCCCCAUCACUGAAAGUUAUCGAUCUUUUGCAAUCUCAGUAAAAAUUAGCAUCACAUGGGUAUUUUACUUUAUGCUGCUGUAAUGAUAAGCUUGUAUGAACAUGAAAAACACUUUAAAGAUUAUAUAAUAGUCCAUCUGUUGGAUAGAUCAUUCCCAUUUGAUUUUACCAUUUUGCUUUAUUUUUUCUAGUCUUGUGCUAUUAUAAAGUAUGAUAAAAUCAACAUUGUUAUAAAUAUUUAACCAUGUCUCUAUUUUAGAUUGGAGUUUAGAAAUUGGACUGUGUGACAAAAACAUGAAUUUUCUUUUUUCCUGAGAGCCAGAAGGAGAGACAGCUAGAGCUCCCAUUUGCUGGUUUACUGCCCAGAGGCCCACGAAGGCUGGGGUCAAAGUCAAGGGCUAGGAACUCAGUCCAUGGCUACCACGUGGGUGGCAGAGACCCAAGGACUGAAGCCAUUACCUGCUUUAGCAAGGAGCAGAGCCACAGGACUUGAAGCUCUGCGCUCCAGUGUGGGGUGUGGACGUCUGAACCACCAGACCGAACACCCCAGUGCGACGUAACUUCCCAGAGCGCUGAGUCACUCUCCACACCAGGCUUAGCAGAAAUGUUUUGAAGGAAGAGUCGAGAACAUUGGGUUGAGUAAAUGAAAAAGCAGCUGAAAAGAGAAAAUGACGUCUGACUCGGAUGUUUCCUUCGUGGGUUGUUAAGAAAAUGGUGCAGAGAGGGAGGGAAAAAGAGAGGUCUGGUGGCAGGACUGUUCCCAGGGAAAGACGAUGUCUACAGCGUUCGAGAUCUGGAGUUGAAGAUCUCUUUACUGAUGAGAAAGGGGAAAAUAGCAACAUGGAGGGGGUAUCUUGCUUUCUACCUAACACGUGAUUCCUCUGACAGCACAAAGAAUCAGGUAACCCUACAGACAACUGACAAGCUAGCUAGUGAUUGAUUAGCUGUGCAGUUCUCUAAAUACUUGUACAUACCAACAUCUGAGGCUUAGCAUUCAUAACCCAUUAGCUCCAACGUGUAUAUUUAUGGCUUGAUAAUCAGCCAUCGUUAACAAUGAAGAAGCAACGCAGUGUUCACGUUUAGGAAGAACAUACAAACGGAAGAAGCAGUGCCAACAACACAAGAACAUCACCUUGCUCCCUUCCAUGAACAAUAAAGAAUUAAUCUCUGUAUUUUAAUAGUUAAAU